Molecule: ribosomal RNA, 410 nt
Filed under: uncultured microorganism
Description: bacterial SSU rRNA
Rfam family: Archaeal small subunit ribosomal RNA
Source: RNAcentral
GCGCACCAGGCGAGAAAACUUUACAAUGUGCGAAAGCACGAUAAGGGAACUCUGAGUGCCUCCUAAGGAGGCUGUUCAGGUGUCUAAAAAGCACCUGGAGUAAGGGCUGGGUAAGACCGGUGCCAGCCGCCGCGGUAACACCGGCAGCCCAGGUGGUAGCCACUUUUAUUGGGUCUAAGGCGUCCGUAGCCGGUUGAGUAAGUUCCUUGGGAAAUUUGGCUGCUCAACAGUCAAGCUUCCAGGGAAUACUGCUCGACUUGGGACUGGGAGAGGUCAGAGGUACUCCAGGGGUAGGGGUGAAAUCCAUUAAUCCCUGGGGGACCACCGGUAGCGAAGGCGUCUGACCAGACCAGGUCCGACGGUGAGGGACGAAGGCUAGGGUCGCGAACCGGAUUAGAUACCCCUGUAGU